RNAcentral lists this long non-coding RNA (441 nucleotides) under Homo sapiens (human). RNAcentral describes it as "HSALNT0054689". The record is from RNAcentral. Lineage: Eukaryota; Metazoa; Chordata; Mammalia; Primates; Hominidae.
GGUAGGCACAGGGCCUGCUGGGGCUCAGGAGCUUGGAGUGUGUGGUUGGGGCAGGCCUGGGGGGUCAUUCUCUGGAGCCAGCUGUGUGGCUUCAGGCAGCAGUCAGCGACUUGGCUGCAGUGGGCUGAGAGUUCCUUGUCUGAGGAAGGGAGCUGUCAUGAGGGAGGGGUCCAUGGCCAGAUGUGAACGCAGAAUGCACUGAGCCAGGGCCUGGUGACUGCUUGGGAACAGCCAGUGAUGAGAAGGGGUUAGGCAGCCUUUGCCCCUGGGGCUGCACAGGAAGCCCUAGCCAGCGACCUGGUGACUCCCCUGAGCUGGAAGAGGCUCCGACUCCAGAGGGCAUUGCCUAUGGGGCUUUGCACGGGUGGAAGCCAGGCCAGCCAAGAGGACCUGUUCCUGCUGGAUGUGCUGCACACCUAGGAACCUUGUGCUUGCCUGCCA